CUCAUUUCUAGUUUAUUAGUGCAGGAUCCGUCACGCUGGCAGCAGGAUUAAAGACUACAAAGAGCUUGGUCCAAGCCUCUGUGGGCCUGAACAUCACCAGCUCCGUGUUUGCAGUUAUAGGCAUCAUUAUCCAUAGCCUCAGCAUCUUCAUCAAUUCGUCGUGUGCAGGACCACAAUGUUCCAUAUUCUACUCAUUUUUCCGGGGUCUGGAUGGCCUCGUGCUGGCCUUCUCCUUGCUGGAAUUCGCCAUUGCCGUGGUCCUCUCCCACUUUGGAUGCCAAGUAGCUUGCUGCAGCUGCAGUGAGGUUACCUUGGUUCUGACAUCAGGCUCUCAGCUGGUGGGAACAGCGCCUUCUGCACCCCUCGGAGGAGGAUUGAUGGGAACAAGAACUCCCGAACGAAAUGACGGAAACCUCCCCCCUCCGAUUA
Long non-coding RNA from Octodon degus (degu), 429 nucleotides. RefSeq lists it as uncharacterized. The record is from RefSeq and is a predicted model, not a curated record. Lineage: Eukaryota; Metazoa; Chordata; Mammalia; Rodentia; Octodontidae. The transcript has 4 exons.